AAUCAACGCUGGCGGCGUGCCUCAGACAUGCAAGUCGAACGAUUAAAGCUCUCUUCGGAGAGUGUAUAGAGUGGCGCACGGGUGAGUAACACGUAAGUAAUCUACCUUCGAGUGGGGAAUAACGUCCGGAAACGGACGCUAAUACCGCAUAAUGCAGCGGCAUCGCAAGAUGACAGUUGUUAAAGAUUUAUCGCUUGAAGAGGAGCUUGCGGCAGAUAGCUAGUUGGUAAGGUAAUGGCUUACCAAGGCUACGAUCUGUAACCGGUCUAAGAGGACGGUCGGUCACACUGACACUGAACAACGGGUCAGACUCCUACGGAGGCAGCAGUCGGGAAUUUUGGGCAAUGGGCGAAAGCCUGACCCA
Molecule: ribosomal RNA, 364 nt
Filed under: uncultured bacterium
Lineage: Bacteria
Description: bacterial SSU rRNA
Rfam family: Bacterial small subunit ribosomal RNA
Source: RNAcentral